CACGUAGGGCGCAAGCGUUGUCCGGAAUUAUUGGGCGUAAAGAGCUCGUAGGCGGUCUGUUGCGUCUGCUGUGAAAACCCGAGGCUCAACCUCGGGCCUGCAGUGGGUACGGGCAGACUAGAGUGCGGUAGGGGGAGAAUGGAAUUCCUGGUGUAGCGGUGGAAUGCGCAGAUAUCAGGAGGAACACCAAUUGCGAAGGCAGCUCGCUGGGACGGUACUGACGCUGAGACGCGAAAGCGUGGGGAGCAAACAGG
RNAcentral lists this ribosomal RNA (254 nucleotides) under uncultured bacterium. RNAcentral describes it as "partial 16S ribosomal RNA". It matches the Rfam family "Bacterial small subunit ribosomal RNA", at positions 524 to 776 of the family's 1533-position model. The record is from RNAcentral.